GAGUUUGAUCCUGGCUCAGAUUGAACGCUGGCGGCACGCUUAACACAUGCAAGUCGAACGGCAGCACAGGUGCUUGCACCGGGUGGCGAGUGGCGGACGGGUGAGUAAUGCUUAGGAAUCUACCGCGAAGUGGGGGACAACACGAGGAAACUCGUGCUAAUACCGCAUAUGUUCUACGGAAUAAAGAUGGCCUCUAUUUAUAUGCUAUCGCUUUGUGAUGAGCCUAAGUCGGAUUAGCUUGUUGGUGGGGUAAAAGCCUACCAAGGCGACGAUCCGUAGCUGGUCUGAGAGGAUGAUCAGCCACACUGGGACUGAGACACGGCCCAGACUCCUACGGGAGGCAGCAGUGGGGAAUAUUGGACAAUGGGGGCAACCCUGAUCCAGCGAUGCCGCGUGUGUGAAGAAGGCCUGCGGGUUGUAAAGCACUUUAGUUGGGGAGGAGAUUUCGCUUGUGAAUAAUGAGCGGAUGAGACGUUACCCAAAGAAUAAGCACCGGCUAACUCUGUGCCAGCAGCCGCGGUAAUACAGAGGGUGCAAGCGUUAAUCGGAGUUACUGGGCGUAAAGGGCGCGUAGGCGGUUAUUUAAGUCAGUUGUGAAAUCCCAGGGCUCAACCUUGGAACUGCAAUUGAUACUGGGUAACUAGAGUCGAAGAGAGGGAAGCGGAAUUUCCGGUGUAGCGGUGAAAUGCGUAGAUAUCGGAAGGAACACCCGUGGCGAAGGCGGCUUCCUGGCUUCAGACUGACGCUGAGGCGCGAAAGCGUGGGGAGCGAACAGGAUUAGAUACCCUGGUAGUCCACGCUGUAAACGAUGAGUACUAGCUGUUGGUAGGCUUUGUUCUAUCAGUAGCGCAGCUAACGCACUAAGUACUCCGCCUGGGGAUUACGGCCGCAAGGCUAAAACUCAAAGAAAUUGACGGGGGCCCGCACAAGCGGUGGAGCAUGUGGUUUAAUUCGAUGCAACGCGAAAAACCUUACCUACCCUUGACAUCCUGGGAAUCUCUUGUAAUUGAGAGAGUGCCUUCGGGAAUCCAGAGACAGGUGCUGCAUGGCUGUCGUCAGCUCGUGUCGUGAGAUGUUGGGUUAAGUCCCGUAACGAGCGCAACCCUUGUGCCUAGUUGCCAGCAUUAAGUUGGGGACUCUAGGCAGACUGCCGGUGAUAAACCGGAGGAAGGUGGGGAUGACGUCAAGUCCUCAUGGCCCUUAUGGGUAGGGCUACACACGUGCUACAAUGGGCAGAACAAAGGGAAGCGAAGCCGUGAGGUGGAGCGGAUCUCAGAAAACUGUUCGUAGUCCGGAUUGGAGUCUGCAACUCGACUCCAUGAAGUCGGAAUCGCUAGUAAUCGCGGAUCAGAAUGCCGCGGUGAAUACGUUCCCGGGCCUUGUACACACCGCCCGUCACACCAUGGAAGUGGGCUGUACCAGAAGUGGCUAGUCUAACCUUCGGGAGAACGGUCACCACGGUGUGGUUCAUGACUGGGGUGAAGUCGUAACAAGGUAACC
RNAcentral lists this ribosomal RNA (1500 nucleotides) under uncultured prokaryote. RNAcentral describes it as "partial 16S ribosomal RNA". It matches the Rfam family "Bacterial small subunit ribosomal RNA". The record is from RNAcentral.